This 373-nucleotide ribosomal RNA is filed under the name uncultured organism. Its description in RNAcentral is "partial 16S ribosomal RNA". It matches the Rfam family "Bacterial small subunit ribosomal RNA", at positions 527 to 896 of the family's 1533-position model. The record is from RNAcentral.
GUAGGUGGCAAGCGUUGUCCGGAAUUAUUGGGCGUAAAGCGCGCGCAGGCGGUUCUUUAAGUCUGAUGUGAAAGCCCACGGCUCAACCGUGGAGGGUCAUUGGAAACUGGAGAACUUGAGUACAGAAGAGGAAAGCGGUAUUCCACGUGUAGCGGUGAAAUGCGUAGAGAUGUGGAGGAACACCAGUGGCGAAGGCGGCUUUCUGGUCUGUAACUGACGCUGAGGCGCGAAAGCGCGGGGAGCAAACAGGGAUUAGAUACCCUGGUAGUCCACGCCGUAAACGAUGAGUGCUAAGUGUUAGGGGGUUUCCGCCCCCUUAGUGCUGCAGCUAACGCAUUAAGCACUCCGCCUGGGGAGUACGGCCGCAAGGCUG